This 436-nucleotide ribosomal RNA is filed under the name Terranova sp. SS-2014. RNAcentral's name for it is "partial 28S ribosomal RNA". The record is from RNAcentral. Lineage: Eukaryota; Metazoa; Nematoda; Chromadorea; Rhabditida; Anisakidae.
AUCGAGCUAAACAAAAAAAGACUCAUAACGUGCAUACAAUCCAUUUGUGCGUAUAUAUGAGCCAUGCGGUCACUUAUACACACUGUGGUGGCUGUCGUCUGCUGUUUUUGGCGGGCAAUGACUUAUAAGUGCCGUGUGACUAGGGGGUAUGAUCGGCAUGCUAUGCGCCUUUUGGGCGUAUAGUAUGGGCGCAUACACCCGUUAACUGUAAAAACGGUGUCCAAUUUGGCGUCUACGCGUCACCUAGCUACUGCCUGGACCGUCGGUAGCGAUGAAAGGUGCCGAGAAAGUUCCUCUUUUUGAGUUGAGCAGACUUAAUGAGCCACGCAGGGUGGCCGCCAAAAACCCAAAACACUAACGUUAUGUUGAUAUAUUUGAAAUGGAGUGGGGUUAACUGUCGUUUUCGGUGGUGGACCCCAUCUUCGAGCCUCUUGUA